CACGACGCUUGCAGACGCUAGCAAAGCAUUCUCUCUCAGACGUCCAACAGCUACACAUGUCGUCUCUCUCCGCGGAACAGACCAGAUUCCAACUUCCAAAUAUCACCGGUGCAUGCCUCAUCAACACUGGAAAGACCUGAACAACUUAUGAAUAACUAUUGUAAGUUACACCACAAACCAAUGUUCGAAUCAUGUUAUGAGCAGCGAUGAAACAGAUCUCUAUAAACCAGUAAUACUUCCAUGGGAAUGACUGGCAGACAUCCACAAAGUGAGGAUACGAGCGAGGAUCUCCAAGGACGACAGGACAUGAUGUGCAACGACCUCUGCCAGAUUGUUGUGGACCUACCUGUACGUAUACUGAAUGUAUCCUGAGUGAAUAAGCUAUCCGGUAUACCUUCAGUAUACGUAACAGGAGGGCCCACUUUUCUUCAUAUCAGCUGACUGCCUCUCACUCACUUGCUGUCUCUCUCUUCAACACUCCAACACGUCGACAAGGAUUAUACCGGAAAAUAUAGGACUUUACAUACUUUAGAUAAUAUAGCAAUAGAUUUAGCCAUUCAAGAAAUUCAUCUAUAGCAAAAUUAAUCAAUACAUAGUCUACAUUUAAAAAUAGAGAACUUCACAUUCUAGAUAAUAUAGCAAAAGCUAUAGCGAUUCAAGAGAAUUACCUAUAGCAAAAUUGAUCAUUAAAUACAUUUAAAAAUAGAGAACUUCACAUUCUAGAUAAUGUAGCAACAGCUACAGUGAUUUAUGAAAU
Molecule: long non-coding RNA, 757 nt
Organism: Nilaparvata lugens (brown planthopper)
Lineage: Eukaryota; Metazoa; Arthropoda; Insecta; Hemiptera; Delphacidae
Exons: 3
Source: RefSeq, a predicted model, not a curated record